Callithrix jacchus (white-tufted-ear marmoset) is the source of this 109-nucleotide Y RNA. It matches the Rfam family "Y RNA". Rfam says of the family: Y RNAs are components of the Ro ribonucleoprotein particle (Ro RNP), in association with Ro60 and La proteins. The record is from Ensembl. Lineage: Eukaryota; Metazoa; Chordata; Mammalia; Primates; Cebidae.
GGCUGGUCUGAAGAUAGUGAGAAAUCUCAACUGAUAGUUCACAGUUACAGAUUGAACUCCUUGUUCAACUCUUUUCCCCCUUCUCACUACUGCACUUGACUAGUUUUAA